RNAcentral lists this long non-coding RNA (717 nucleotides) under Oryctolagus cuniculus (rabbit). RNAcentral describes it as "lncRNA (ENSOCUG00000034631.1)". The record is from RNAcentral. Lineage: Eukaryota; Metazoa; Chordata; Mammalia; Lagomorpha; Leporidae.
AUGCGCUGUGUCAGCCCUCAGAUGCCCCCAUGGCUCGGCUGGGCUGAAGCUGGGAGGCGGGAACUCAAUCCAGGUCUCAUGGGUGCCAGGAACCCAGCUCCUUGGAUCAUCAUGGCUGCCUCCCAAGGCCCAUUCCAGCAGGAAGCUGGAGUCAGGAGCUGGAGCCAGGCCAACCUCCCAACCAACGUCUUCCCGCUCGGCUGCAAGCUCGUGCUGAAGCGCGUUAACCCGCGUCCUCUGAAAUCGCUCGCUCGUUGGCCGCCCCACACGGCUUCCCGAUUCACCUCCUGCUGUCCGCCCACACCCAGCGCCACGCGCGGUGCCCGUGAGGCGCCCCGCUCCUCGCCCACGCAGGGCCUCCCUGGAAGGGGCUCUGCACAGCCGUUAGCCCCGCCCCAGACCAGCCGUCACUUCCGGCCACGCCCACACCUGAAGACGCCGCGGUCUGCCGGGCGGAGCAUGCUCCCUUGCCUUGGGAACACGUCUGCCCUUGUCGGACUCGUGUCGCCUCCCAGCACCCAGCGCCAUGCCGGGAAGGGAGCAAGCAGCCAACCAGUACUCGGCUCCACCCACACGCAAGCAGGAGCAGCCGCGAGCACAGUUCAGCCAGCGCCGUCACGCCCCUGGCCCUGCGACGGCGCCUGGACAUGGUACCCAUCCGCUCCCCUCAGACCCAGACCCAGACUCCCAAGGACAGGCGCCCCUGGAUCCCCCUGA